RNAcentral lists this ribosomal RNA (497 nucleotides) under uncultured bacterium. RNAcentral describes it as "partial 16S ribosomal RNA". It matches the Rfam family "Bacterial small subunit ribosomal RNA", at positions 28 to 507 of the family's 1533-position model. The record is from RNAcentral.
GAUGAACGCUGGCGGCGUGCCUAAUACAUGCAAGUCGAGCGAACAGACGAGGAGCUUGCUCCUCUGACGUUAGCCGCGGACGGGUGAGUAACACGUGGAUAACCUACCUAUAAGACUGGGAUAACUUCGGGAAACCGGAGCUAAUACCGGAUAAUAUAUUGAACCGCAUGGUUCAAUAGUGAAAUACGGUUUUGCUGUCACUUAUAGAUGGAUCCGCGCCGCAUUAGCUAGUUGUUAAGGUAACGGCUUACCAAGGCGACCAUGCGUAGCCGACCUGAGAGGGUGAUCGGCCACACUGGAACUGAGACACGGUCCAGACUCCUACGGGAGGCAGCAGUAGGGAAUCUUACGCAAUGGGCGAAAGCUUGACGGAGCAACGCCGCGUGAGUGAUGAAGGUCUUCGGAUCGUAAAACUCUGUUAUUAGGGAAGAACAAAUGUGUAAGUAACUGUGCACGUCUUGACGGUACCUAAUCAGAAAGCAACGGCUAACUACGUG